GACGAACGCUGGCGGCGUGCUUAACACAUGCAAGUCGAACGGAAAGGCCCUGCUUGCAGGGUACUCGAGUGGCGAACGGGUGAGUAACACGUGGGUGAUCUGCCCUGCACUUCGGGAUAAGCCUGGGAAACUGGGUCUAAUACCGGAUAGGAGCCAUUUUUAGUGUGAUGGUUGGAAAGUUUUUUCGGUGUAGGAUGAGCUCGCGGCCUAUCAGCUUGUUGGUGGGGUAAUGGCCUACCAAGGCGGCGACGGGUAGCCGGCCUGAGAGGGUGGACGGCCACAUUGGGACUGAGAUUCGGCCCAGACUCCUACGGGAGGCAGCAGUGGGGAAUAUUGCAAAAUGGGCGCGAGCCUGAUGCAGCGACGCCGCGUGGGGGAUGACGGCCUUCGGGUUGUAAACUCCUUUCGCUAGGGACGAAGCUUUUUGUGACGGUACCUAGAUAAGAAGCACCGGCUAACUACGUG
This 465-nucleotide ribosomal RNA is filed under the name uncultured bacterium. RNAcentral describes it as "partial 16S ribosomal RNA". It matches the Rfam family "Bacterial small subunit ribosomal RNA", at positions 28 to 507 of the family's 1533-position model. The record is from RNAcentral.